UCAGGAUGAACGCUAGCGACAGGCUAACACAUGCAAGUCGAGGGGCAGCACGGGAGUAGCAAUACAACUGGUGGCGACCGGCGCACGGGUGAGUAACGCGUAUGCAACCUACCUAUCGAGAGGGGAAUAACCCGGCGAAAGUCGGACUAAUACCGCAUAAAACAGGGGCACCGCAUGGUGAUAUUUGUUAAAGAAAUUCGCUGAUAGAUGGGCAUGCGUUCCAUUAGGUAGUUGGUGAGGUAACGGCUCACCAAGCCGACGAUGGAUAGGGGAACUGAGAGGUUGGUCCCCCACACUGGUACUGAGACACGGACCAGACUCCUACGGGAGGCAGCAGUGAGGAAUAUUGGUCAAUGGGCGGGAGCCUGAACCAGCCAAGUCGCCGUGAAGGAAGAAGGAUCUAUGGUUCGUAAACUUCUUUUGCAGGGGAAUAAAGUGCAGGACGUGUCCUGUUUUGUAUGUACCCUGAGAAUAAGGAUCGGCUAACUCCGUGCCAGCCGCAGC
Molecule: ribosomal RNA, 504 nt
Filed under: uncultured bacterium
Lineage: Bacteria
Description: bacterial SSU rRNA
Rfam family: Bacterial small subunit ribosomal RNA
Source: RNAcentral